UCAAGUUCGCUGAUGACACGACCGUGGUGGGUCUAAUCAGCAGGAACGAUGAGUCAGCAUAUAGAGAAGAGGUGCAAUGGUUAACUGCCUGGUGGCUCAUACAGAAGUUUGUUUAAAACCAAACACAUUUUUGUGGGUCGAUGGUGAUUUUAUGACAAAACAGAAAAAUAUUUGAUGUGAAAUUUGCAUUCCGUUUUUCUUAACGUUACACGUUAAGCAAUUAACUUACUAAUCAGGCAGAUUCCUAUAGAAAUACUUGAUGCUAUGAUCCAAUUUGUUACAUAUAAAUCCGUAAUAUAAAUAUAUUCACUGAAAAACGUUACCAUAUUAUUUUCUAUAAUGGUAAUGAUAUUUAAAGUACAUGAAUUUGAUAUUAGACAUGAAUAGAUAACAUGACACAUUAGCCAUUAGUUAUUGACCUUGCAGUAUAAAAAAUGACUUAAGUCUGCAUGCUGAACAACACUGCUUAGUUACAGUACUGUGCAAAAGUCUUAGGUGUGCUAGUAUUUUACCCCCAAAAGAGGUUUUAAGCCAGUUAAGUUUUUCCUUUGCUGUAUUGUACCAGUAAGAAUUUUCAGCUUACAUUUUUAAACAUUCAUUUUGUCAUUAUUUGUAAUAAUCCAGUUAGAUUUUUGUAUGCACAAGGAGUCUGACAACAGCCGGUGCUACACACUUGAUCUCAUCAUCAUCAAAUUAUUAUUAGUAUUAUUACAUGAAAACUGAGACAAACUAAAUUCAGAAGAAUUAACUUGCUUAAAACUUAACUGGCUUAAAACCUCUUUUGGGUUAAAAAUACUAGCAUGCCUAAGACUUUUGCACAGUUCAGUAUGUGUUGACAACAUUAUUCUCUUCACAGAACCAAAGCAUUGAGGUGAGGCGUAAAGCUAUUAUCCGGAGCCUCAUACUGUACCUUGGCGAAAAAGAAGAGAAGCUUUUUGAAGAAUGCCUGGAGGACAGUUGCAGUGACACCAUGCAACACAUCCUUAAGAUUCUGGUGGUCUAUGGAGCUGGUGUAGAGGAUUCAGUGGAUGUAUCUAUUAUUCUCGAAGGCCGGGAGAUCCUACCAAGAUGUCACAACGUGGCUAAAGCUCGUGCACUACAUAUGGGGUUGAUUUAUGCCCUCAACCUUGCAUACCCCAAAGCCCUGCGCUAUACUUUUGAGGUGUUUCAAAAACUUUUUCUAGAACUGGAUGGGAUUAAGUUGUCCUCUAAAAUUCAAACUUUAAAGUCCAAGCUGCUGACUUAAAGUGUGUUUGUGAUGGCAAGUUCUGCACAUUAUUGGAUGAAAUUACAACACCCCAACUCAGUGUUUCAUCCUGCAUGUUCUGGUGAACCCUUUUCAUAAAUAAUUAUUUUGGCUUGUUUCCUGCACUUUGGUACAUAAUUUGCACUUUUGCCAUUUGUACUAAAUUGAUCUUUAGUAGCGUUUUCAGUUUUAUGCCUUAUAACCACCUGGUCUUACUGUCACCAAGAGUGACCAGACUUUAGAAGCAUUGAUGUGUUUAUACUGUGUGUUUUGAAUUGACUUUAUUCAAGGCAAAUAGUGGUGGGAAUAUGUUAAAGUUAUAAUUUUUUGCCAGUUUUCAUUUACUUUUAUGUAGAGCGUUUAACAUCUUUAACAAACAUAUUUAACAUCUGUUUUAUGCAAAAUGUUUUGAUACCGUUGGGAAAAAAUAACAAUUGAAUUGUAUUAACCACUGUGAUUUGUGUUGAAUGCAUACACAAAGUGAUUAAAUUUAUUUGGUAAUAUCA
Silurus meridionalis is the source of this 1752-nucleotide long non-coding RNA. RefSeq lists it as uncharacterized. The record is from RefSeq and is a predicted model, not a curated record. The transcript is spliced from 2 exons. Lineage: Eukaryota; Metazoa; Chordata; Actinopteri; Siluriformes; Siluridae.